RNAcentral lists this ribosomal RNA (449 nucleotides) under Pycnococcus provasolii. Its description in RNAcentral is "partial Bacterial small subunit ribosomal RNA". It matches the Rfam family "Bacterial small subunit ribosomal RNA", at positions 1071 to 1523 of the family's 1533-position model. The record is from RNAcentral. Lineage: Eukaryota; Viridiplantae; Chlorophyta; Pseudoscourfieldiophyceae; Pseudoscourfieldiales; Pycnococcaceae.
GAUGUUGGGUUAAGUCCCGCAACGAGCGCAACCCUUGUCAUUAGUUGCUACGAAAGGGCACUCUAAUGAGACUGCCGGUGACAAACCGGAGGAAGGUGGGGAUGACGUCAGGUCAUCAUGGCCCUUAUGGGUAGGGCUACACACGUCAUACAAUGGCCGGUACAGAGGGUUGCCAACCCGCGAGGGGGAGCUAAUCCCAUAAAACCAGUCGUAGUCCGGAUCGCAGUCUGCAACUCGACUGCGUGAAGUCGGAAUCGCUAGUAAUCGUGGAUCAGCAUGCCACGGUGAAUACGUUCCCGGGCCUUGUACACACCGCCCGUCACGUCACGAAAGUCGGUAACACCCGAAGCCAGUGGCCCAACCCCUUGUGGGGGGGAGCUGUCGAAGGUGGGAUCGGCGAUUGGGACGAAGUCGGAACAAGGUAGCCGUACUGGAAGGUGCGGCUGGAU